This 524-nucleotide ribosomal RNA is filed under the name fungal sp. E16124C. Its description in RNAcentral is "eukaryotic LSU rRNA". The stretch from base 159 to 312 matches the Rfam family "5.8S ribosomal RNA". Lineage: Eukaryota; Fungi. The record is from RNAcentral.
GAACCUGCGGAAGGAUCAUUACCGAGUUUUCGGGCUUCGGCUCGACUCUCCCACCCUUUGUGAACGUACCUCUGUUGCUUUGGCGGCUUCGGCCGCCAAAGGACCUUCAAACUCCAGUCAGUAAACGCAGACGUCUGAUAAACAAGUCAAUAAACUAAAACUUUCAACAACGGAUCUCUUGGUUCUGGCAUCGAUGAAGAACGCAGCGAAAUGCGAUAAGUAAUGUGAAUUGCAGAAUUCAGUGAAUCAUCGAAUCUUUGAACGCACAUUGCGCCCCUUGGUAUUCCGGGGGGCAUGCCUGUUCGAGCGUCAUUACAACCCUCAAGCUCUGCUUGGAAUUGGGCACCGUCCUCACUGCGGACGCGCCUCAAAGACCUCGGCGGUGGCUGUUCAGCCCUCAAGCGUAGUAGAAUACACCUCGCUUUGGAGCGGUUGGCGUCGCCCGCCGGACGAACCUUCUGAACUUUUCUCAAGGUUGACCUCGGAUCAGGUAGGGAUACCCGCUGAACUUAAGCAUAUCAAUA